This 501-nucleotide ribosomal RNA is filed under the name uncultured bacterium. Its description in RNAcentral is "partial 16S ribosomal RNA". It matches the Rfam family "Bacterial small subunit ribosomal RNA", at positions 28 to 507 of the family's 1533-position model. The record is from RNAcentral.
GACGAACGCUGGCGGCGUGCUUAACACAUGCAAGUCGAACGGUGAAGCACCUUCCUUUUGGUGGGUGUGGAUGAGUGGCGAACGGGUGAGUAACACGUGAGUAACCUGCCCCCUUCUUCUGGAUAACCGCAUGAAAGUGUGGCUAAUACGGGAUAUUCUGUGCCUGCUGCAUGGUGGGUGUGGGAAAGAUGCGCUUUUGGGUGUUUUUGGUGGGGGAUGGGCUCGCGGCCUAUCAGCUUGUUGGUGGGGUGAUGGCCUACCAAGGCGGUGACGGGUAGCCGGCCUGGGAGGGUGGACGGUCACACUGGGACUGAGACACGGCCCAGACUCCUACGGGAGGCAGCAGUGGGGAAUAGUGCACAAUGGGCGCAAGCCUGAUGCAGCGACGCCGCGUGAGGGAUGGAGGCCUUCGGGUUGUAAACCUCUUUCGCCAGUGAAGCAGGCCUGUCCCUUGUGGGUGGGUUGACGGUAGCUGGAUAAGAAGCGCCGGCUAACUACGUG